This 253-nucleotide ribosomal RNA is filed under the name uncultured bacterium. RNAcentral describes it as "partial 16S ribosomal RNA". It matches the Rfam family "Bacterial small subunit ribosomal RNA", at positions 524 to 776 of the family's 1533-position model. The record is from RNAcentral.
UACGAAGGGGGCUAGCGUUGUUCGGAAUCACUGGGCGUAAAGCGCACGUAGGCGGAUCUUUAAGUCAGGGGUGAAAUCCCGGGGCUCAACCCCGGAACUGCCUUUGAUACUGGUAGUCUCGAGUCCGGAAGAGGUGAGUGGAAUUCCGAGUGUAGAGGUGAAAUUCGUAGAUAUUCGGAGGAACACCAGUGGCGAAGGCGGCUCACUGGUCCGGUACUGACGCUGAGGUGCGAAAGCGUGGGGAGCAAACAGG